RNAcentral lists this ribosomal RNA (597 nucleotides) under uncultured bacterium. Its description in RNAcentral is "bacterial SSU rRNA". It matches the Rfam family "Bacterial small subunit ribosomal RNA", at positions 788 to 1386 of the family's 1533-position model. The record is from RNAcentral.
UGGUAGUNCACGCCGUAAACGAUGAGUGCUAGGUGUUAGGCCCUUUCCGGGGCUUAGUGCCGGAGCUAACGCAAUAAGCACUCCGCCUGGGGAGUACGACCGCAAGGUUGAAACUCAAAGGAAUUGACGGGGGCCCGCACAAGCGGUGGAGCAUGUGGUUUAAUUCAAAGCAACGCGAAGAACCUUACCAGGUCUUGACAUCCCGAUGCUAUUCUUAGAGAUAGGAAGUUACUUCGGUACAUCGGAGACAGGUGGUGCAUGGUUGUCGUCAGCUCGUGUCGUGAGAUGUUGGGUAANNNNNNNNACGAGCGCAACCCUUAUUGUUAGUUGCCAUCAUUAAGUUGGGCACCCUAGCGAGACUGCCGGUAAUAAACCGGAGGAAGGUGGGGAUGACGUCAAAUCAUCAUGCCCCUUAUGACCUGGGCUACACACGUGCUACAAUGGUCGGUACAACGAGUUGCGAGCCGGUGACGGCAAGCUAAUCUCUGAAAGCCGAUCUCAGUUCGGAUUGGAGGCUGCAACUCGCCUCCAUGAAGUCGGAAUCGCUAGUAAUCGCGGAUCAGCACGCCGCGGUGAAUACGUUCCCGGGCCUUGUNC